GAAUCUUCGGCAAUGGACGAAAGUCUGACCGAGCAAUGCCGCGUGAGUGAAGAAGGUCUUCGGAUUGUAAAGCUCUGUUAUUAGGGAAGAAAGGUUAUAGUAGGAAAUGACUAUAAAGUGACGGUACCUAAUGAGAAAGCCACGGCUAACUACGUCCCAGCAGCCGCGGUAAUACGUAGGUGGCAAGCGUUGUCCGGAAUUAUUGGGCGUAAAGAGUGCGUAGGCGGUCUAUUAAGUCUCAUUUGAAAGCCCAUGGCUUAACCAUGGAGGGUGAUGGGAAACUGAUGGACUUGAGUACAGGAGAGGAAGGUGGAAUUCCACGUGUAGCGGUGAAAUGCGUAGAGAUGUGGAGGAACACCAGUAGCGAAGGCGGCCUUCUGGCCUGUGUCUGACGCUAAGGCACGAAAGCGUGGGUAGCAAACA
Molecule: ribosomal RNA, 423 nt
Filed under: uncultured bacterium
Lineage: Bacteria
Description: bacterial SSU rRNA
Rfam family: Bacterial small subunit ribosomal RNA
Source: RNAcentral